RNAcentral lists this ribosomal RNA (2902 nucleotides) under Klebsiella pneumoniae. Its description in RNAcentral is "23S ribosomal RNA". It matches the Rfam family "Bacterial large subunit ribosomal RNA". RNAcentral also lists the same sequence under 2 other names. The record is from RNAcentral. Lineage: Bacteria; Pseudomonadati; Pseudomonadota; Gammaproteobacteria; Enterobacterales; Enterobacteriaceae.
GGUUAAGCGACUAAGCGUACACGGUGGAUGCCCUGGCAGUCAGAGGCGAUGAAGGACGUGCUAAUCUGCGAAAAGCGUCGGUAAGGUGAUAUGAACCGUUAUAACCGGCGAUGUCCGAAUGGGGAAACCCAGUGUGAUUCGUCACACUAUCGUUAACUGAAUACAUAGGUUAACGAGGCGAACCGGGGGAACUGAAACAUCUAAGUACCCCGAGGAAAAGAAAUCAACCGAGAUUCCCCCAGUAGCGGCGAGCGAACGGGGAGCAGCCCAGAGUCUGAAUCAGCUUGUGUGUUAGUGGAACGGUCUGGAAAGUCCGACGGUACAGGGUGAUAGUCCCGUACACCAAAAUGCACAGGCUGUGAACUCGAAGAGUAGGGCGGGACACGUGGUAUCCUGUCUGAAUAUGGGGGGACCAUCCUCCAAGGCUAAAUACUCCUGACUGACCGAUAGUGAACCAGUACCGUGAGGGAAAGGCGAAAAGAACCCCGGCGAGGGGAGUGAAAAAGAACCUGAAACCGUGUACGUACAAGCAGUGGGAGCACCUUCGGGUGUGACUGCGUACCUUUUGUAUAAUGGGUCAGCGACUUAUAUUCUGUAGCAAGGUUAACCGUAUAGGGGAGCCGCAGGGAAACCGAGUCUUAACUGGGCGUUAAGUUGCAGGGUAUAGACCCGAAACCCGGUGAUCUAGCCAUGGGCAGGUUGAAGGUUGGGUAACACUAACUGGAGGACCGAACCGACUAAUGUUGAAAAAUUAGCGGAUGACUUGUGGCUGGGGGUGAAAGGCCAAUCAAACCGGGAGAUAGCUGGUUCUCCCCGAAAGCUAUUUAGGUAGCGCCUCGUGAACUCAUCUUCGGGGGUAGAGCACUGUUUCGGCUAGGGGGUCAUCCCGACUUACCAACCCGAUGCAAACUACGAAUACCGAAGAAUGUUAUCACGGGAGACACACGGCGGGUGCUAACGUCCGUCGUGAAGAGGGAAACAACCCAGACCGCCAGCUAAGGUCCCAAAGUCAUGGUUAAGUGGGAAACGAUGUGGGAAGGCACAGACAGCCAGGAUGUUGGCUUAGAAGCAGCCAUCAUUUAAAGAAAGCGUAAUAGCUCACUGGUCGAGUCGGCCUGCGCGGAAGAUGUAACGGGGCUAAACCAUGCACCGAAGCUGCGGCAGCGACACUAUGUGUUGUUGGGUAGGGGAGCGUUCUGUAAGCCUGCGAAGGUGACCUGUGAGGGUUGCUGGAGGUAUCAGAAGUGCGAAUGCUGACAUAAGUAACGAUAAAGCGGGUGAAAAGCCCGCUCGCCGGAAGACCAAGGGUUCCUGUCCAACGUUAAUCGGGGCAGGGUGAGUCGACCCCUAAGGCGAGGCCGAAAGGCGUAGUCGAUGGGAAACAGGUUAAUAUUCCUGUACUUGGUGUUACUGCGAAGGGGGGACGGAGAAGGCUAUGUUAGCCGGGCGACGGUUGUCCCGGUUUAAGCAUGUAGGCUGGUUAUCCAGGCAAAUCCGGAUAAUCAAGGCUGAGGUGUGAUGACGAGGCACUACGGUGCUGAAGUAACAAAUGCCCUGCUUCCAGGAAAAGCCUCUAAGCAUCAGGUAACAUCAAAUCGUACCCCAAACCGACACAGGUGGUCAGGUAGAGAAUACCAAGGCGCUUGAGAGAACUCGGGUGAAGGAACUAGGCAAAAUGGUGCCGUAACUUCGGGAGAAGGCACGCUGGUGUGUAGGUGAAGUCCCUGCGGAUGGAGCUGAGACCAGUCGAAGAUACCAGCUGGCUGCAACUGUUUAUUAAAAACACAGCACUGUGCAAACACGAAAGUGGACGUAUACGGUGUGACGCCUGCCCGGUGCCGGAAGGUUAAUUGAUGGGGUUAUCCGUAAGGAGAAGCUCUUGAUCGAAGCCCCGGUAAACGGCGGCCGUAACUAUAACGGUCCUAAGGUAGCGAAAUUCCUUGUCGGGUAAGUUCCGACCUGCACGAAUGGCGUAAUGAUGGCCAGGCUGUCUCCACCCGAGACUCAGUGAAAUUGAACUCGCUGUGAAGAUGCAGUGUACCCGCGGCAAGACGGAAAGACCCCGUGAACCUUUACUAUAGCUUGACACUGAACAUUGAGCCUUGAUGUGUAGGAUAGGUGGGAGGCUUUGAAGCGUGGACGCCAGUCUGCGUGGAGCCAACCUUGAAAUACCACCCUUUAAUGUUUGAUGUUCUAACGUUGGCCCCUUAUCGGGGUUGCGGACAGUGUCUGGUGGGUAGUUUGACUGGGGCGGUCUCCUCCCAAAGCGUAACGGAGGAGCACGAAGGUUAGCUAAUCCUGGUCGGACAUCAGGAGGUUAGUGCAAUGGCAUAAGCUAGCUUGACUGCGAGCGUGACGGCGCGAGCAGGUGCGAAAGCAGGUCAUAGUGAUCCGGUGGUUCUGAAUGGAAGGGCCAUCGCUCAACGGAUAAAAGGUACUCCGGGGAUAACAGGCUGAUACCGCCCAAGAGUUCAUAUCGACGGCGGUGUUUGGCACCUCGAUGUCGGCUCAUCACAUCCUGGGGCUGAAGUAGGUCCCAAGGGUAUGGCUGUUCGCCAUUUAAAGUGGUACGCGAGCUGGGUUUAGAACGUCGUGAGACAGUUCGGUCCCUAUCUGCCGUGGGCGCUGGAGAAUUGAGGGGGGCUGCUCCUAGUACGAGAGGACCGGAGUGGACGCAUCACUGGUGUUCGGGUUGUCAUGCCAAUGGCACUGCCCGGUAGCUAAAUGCGGAAGAGAUAAGUGCUGAAAGCAUCUAAGCACGAAACUUGCCCCGAGAUGAGUUCUCCCUGAGACUUUAAGUCUCCUGAAGGAACGUUAAAGACGAUGACGUUGAUAGGCCGGGUGUGUAAGCGCAGCGAUGCGUUGAGCUAACCGGUACUAAUGAACCGUGAGGCUUAACCUU